This 513-nucleotide ribosomal RNA is filed under the name uncultured Desulfobulbus sp. RNAcentral describes it as "bacterial SSU rRNA". It matches the Rfam family "Bacterial small subunit ribosomal RNA", at positions 903 to 1382 of the family's 1533-position model. Lineage: Bacteria; Pseudomonadati; Thermodesulfobacteriota; Desulfobulbia; Desulfobulbales; Desulfobulbaceae. The record is from RNAcentral.
UGCGCCUUGCCAGCCCGCUCAGAAACUUAAAGGAAUUGACGGGGGCCCGCACAAGCGGUGGAGUAUGUGGUUUAAUUCGAUGCAACGCGAAGAACCUUACCUGGUCUUGACAUCCCGGAGACCCUUAGGAAACUAGGGGGUGCUUCCAUCUGGAAGAAUCUGGAGACAGGUGCUGCAUGGCUGUCGUCAGCUCGUGUCGUGAGGUGUUGGGUUAAGUCCCGCAACGAGCGCAACCCUUGCCUUUAGUUGCCAGCAGUUCGGCUGGGCACUCUAAAGGGACUGCCGGUGUUAAACCGGAGGAAGGUGGGGAUGACGUCAAGUCCUCAUGGCCUUUAUGACCAGGGCUACACACGUACUACAAUGGCCGAUACAAAGGGCAGCGACACUGCGAGGUGAAGCCAAUCCCGUAAAAUCGGUCUCAGUCCGGAUUGGAGUCUGCAACUCGACUCCAUGAAGUUGGAAUCGCUAGUAAUCGUGGAUCAGCAUGCCACGGUGAAUACGUUCCCGGGCCUU